This 701-nucleotide ribosomal RNA is filed under the name bacterium. Its description in RNAcentral is "bacterial SSU rRNA". It matches the Rfam family "Bacterial small subunit ribosomal RNA", at positions 785 to 1486 of the family's 1533-position model. The record is from RNAcentral.
CCCUGGUAGUCCACGCCGUAAACGAUGUCGACUUGGAGGUUGUUCCCUUGAGGAGUGGCUUCCGGAGCUAACGCGUUAAGUCGACCGCCUGGGGAGUACGGCCGCAAGGUUAAAACUCAAAUGAAUUGACGGGGGCCCGCACAAGCGGUGGAGCAUGUGGUUUAAUUCGAUGCAACGCGAAGAACCUUACCUACUCUUGACAUCCAGAGAACUUAGCAGAGAUGCUUUGGUGCCUUCGGGAACUCUGAGACAGGUGCUGCAUGGCUGUCGUCAGCUCGUGUUGUGAAAUGUUGGGUUAAGUCCCGCAACGAGCGCAACCCUUAUCCUUUGUUGCCAGCGGUUAGGCCGGGAACUCAAAGGAGACUGCCAGUGAUAAACUGGAGGAAGGUGGGGAUGACGUCAAGUCAUCAUGGCCCUUACGAGUAGGGCUACACACGUGCUACAAUGGCGCAUACAAAGAGAAGCGACCUCGCGAGAGCAAGCGGACCUCAUAAAGUGCGUCGUAGUCCGGAUUGGAGUCUGCAACUCGACUCCAUGAAGUCGGAAUCGCUAGUAAUCGUAGAUCAGAAUGCUACGGUGAAUACGUUCCCGGGCCUUGUACACACCGCCCGUCACACCAUGGGAGUGGGUUGCAAAAGAAGUAGGUAGCUUAACCUUCGGGAGGGCGCUUACCACUUUGUGAUUCAUGACUGGGGUGAAGU